Long non-coding RNA from Lates calcarifer (barramundi perch), 1629 nucleotides. RefSeq lists it as uncharacterized. The transcript has 6 exons. The record is from RefSeq and is a predicted model, not a curated record. Lineage: Eukaryota; Metazoa; Chordata; Actinopteri; Centropomidae.
UUUUUUUUUUUGAUAACUGACUGAUAACACUGUGCAAAGUCUGUGCAUGCUUUGUAAAACAAAUAAAUGAAAGAAGAGCAGGCCACAAUAGACUCUAGACUUCCAGAAUAUCAGACCCAUCUGAUCUUUUUAUCUCAAACAUAUUAUCUGAGUUUCUCAACAAAAAUACUGAAGUACUCCUUAUGUUUGAAGUGACUGAGAUCUGCCCAAGGCAGUCUGCUGUUAGUUGUGUUGGUAUUCCAGUUUGUCAGUAAGAAUGUUAAGUCUAAUAGUAAUCUAGAUCCCACCCAGACACUCCUAAAACCCUGCCUUCUUGCUAUGGUUUCACUCACGCUAUGCAUUCACACGACUGACAGUAAAGACACAGAUCCUCUAAUGGUAAUGCUUGAGGGUCGGACUGGGGACAGGUGAGGGUGGGUUUGAAGUUUUCAUCACAUGCUUCAAUAAGAAAGGAUCCAGUGUUUGCAGUGUUGAACUUGUUCUGCACACACACAUUCAUACAAGCAUCUGGUGUGUUUCGUCUGUGCUGACUGAUAGUGAAGACUUGGCCUGUAUUCAUCAAACUACAAAAAGGGAAACUAUGGACAAAAGUGAAAAAUAAAAGAUGUCACCACUUCGUCCACAAUCACAGAGUCUUCGUACAAUAAAGUUCUUUGAAACCAGGGCUGAGGCCUCCAGGAUUCAAACUUCAAACAUUAAAUCAUAGAGAGAAGAGACAGAUGUGAAGACAUUUCCAGAAGGUCUUCAGCUGCUGUCGUCUUCUCUUCCUGCAGAGACAAGAACAUGCGUUGAUCACAGAAACUGAGCGUGCUCUGUUGAGACAGUUGACGUAAAGCUGUUUGUGAAUUACCUGGAGGCCUCUGUCCUGGUCUCAGUGAACUACUUCAUUGUACGAAGACUCUGUGAUCGUGGACUACGUCUCUGUGAACGUGGACAAUGUCUCUGAGAUUAUGGACAAAGUCUCUGCGAUCAUGGACAACGUCUUUGUGAUCAUGGACGAUGUCUCUGAGAUCAUAAACGCUGUCUCUGUGAUCAUCGGCAAUGUCUCCAUGAUCGCGGUCAAUGCCGUCAAAUCGGUGACCCCCGUCUCCGCCGAUUCUAUCGCAAGGUCUCUACGAAGCAUGGGACAAUGUCUCUGAUCAUGGACAACGUCUCUCUCAUCUUUGACAAGGUCUCUGUGAUCAUGGACAACGUCUCUGAUCGUGGACGAUGUCUCCCUCAUCCUCAACAAUGUCUCUCCGAUCAUGGACCAUGUCUCAGCGAUCGUGGACGACAUCUCUGUGAACGUGGACGGUGGUGGACGAAGUGGUGACACCUGGAAGAAAUCAAAGAGAAACAUACAAAGGAAAAUGAUCAAUACACUGCUACCUAUUCCUCAUCAACAGUUUAACCAUGAAAACACACAGAAAUAUUCAACAUUACAGCUGAACCACAACAUUUAACAAACAUUACAGGCUGCUUCAGAAAAUCAACAGUUAACUGUCAUCACCUCCUGAACAACCAAUGACAACAAAUAUUUGGGAAAAAGUCAAAUGAUUAUUGAUUGUGUGUCUAUCAACUAACCACUGAAGCAAUGUGUGUUACUGUGAACUGCACAACAAUAAUAAACACUAUCAGUUAAAUUUUGAA